UACAGAGGUGGCAAGCGUUGUUCGGAAUUACUGGGCGUAAAGGGCGCGUAGGCGGCCUUCUAAGUCAGACGUGAAAUCCCCGGGCUUAACCUGGGAAUGGCGUUUGGGACUGGGAGUCUGGAGUGCGGCAGAGGAGACUGGAAUUCCUGGUGUAGCAGUGAAAUGCGUAGAUAUCAGGAGGAACACCGAUGGCGAAGGCAGGUCUCUGGGCUGACACUGACGCUCAUGCACGAAAGCGUGGGGAGCAAACAGG
This 253-nucleotide ribosomal RNA is filed under the name uncultured bacterium. RNAcentral describes it as "partial 16S ribosomal RNA". It matches the Rfam family "Bacterial small subunit ribosomal RNA", at positions 524 to 776 of the family's 1533-position model. The record is from RNAcentral.